Molecule: non-coding RNA, 675 nt
Organism: Misgurnus anguillicaudatus (oriental weatherfish)
Lineage: Eukaryota; Metazoa; Chordata; Actinopteri; Cypriniformes; Cobitidae
Source: RefSeq, a predicted model, not a curated record
AUUAAACUGAGCUAACAUUACUGUGUAAAAUUAAUGUAUAUACUGUUAGCUACAGGUCUUUGAAUUCUUACCUGGGUGUCAAACCAUUGUGAUCCAUGCUCAUCGUCGCCCCCCGUCUUUAGUAAACCAAAACAUAAUUUUUUCGCCAAGGUAUUUGUUUCAGAGAUCGGUUAAAGACCGAUAAAUAAAUACAGACCAGAAGUUCACUUCGCGACAACGCGUGUGCGUCUGAUGAAACCGUCUAAACUUACAGAAUUUGGAAGAACUAUCCCAAAGAAUUGUUAUGUUUCAUGCAAAUUUUUAAGGUUAUCAACAGUCACAAAUGCUUUUACAGCAAAUUUCUGCCUCAAGCAAGGACCAACAUCCGGAUUUACCUUUCCAAAAACUGUCCUAGGCUGGUUUGCCUCAUCUACAGAGCUAUGUGAAAAGGAAACACCAAAUGCUGGGAUUCCCAAGGCAUCAGCCCUCUGUGACAUAACAACCCGUGUGUUUAAUGCCCCAAACAAUCUGAGUUGUAGUUUAUCCUUGGACGACAUUGAUGAAAAGAUUUCUGGGAUUUCUGUGGAAAAUAAGUUGUUGUUAGCAUCCAGUGCUCAGAUUCUUACAUCCAGACCAAAACGUCUGACACCCCAUAACAUCACAAAAGCAGUGAAUAUAGCCAACAUGCUGCUCUCC